UUAAAAACUGAUUUUUAGAGUACAAACCUUUGCAAAGUCUUAUUUGUUAUAUUUCAUUUAGGAGGAGAGAUGUUCUGCUCCGCCAUCAGGCUACUGUCCAUAAACCAACCGAGUCAAGUUCUUUUCGCCCAACAUCAUCAUCAAGCACUUUUUCUUUAGCAUCAGCAAGCAUCCCAUCAUCAUCACACAUUCAGGCAUUAUCAAGCCCUCCCUCUCUUUCAAGCCCAUCCUCUAUGUCAAGCUCUUCACCUUUCUCAAGUCCUUCCGCUUCUUCAUCAUCCUCAUCUUUUUUAAACCUUUCUUCUCUAUCAAGCCCUUCCUCUUCAUCCUCAUCAUCCAGCAUUCUCUUAUCUUCCACCACUGUCACAACUACACUCAAUCUUACCUCAUCAAUCAGCUCUUCUAUAAGUUUAUCUUCCCCCUUCUCAUCUCAUUCUCAUUCCAUUGAAUCUCUCUAUCUUGCCCAAACUACUACUUCCAAUAAAACUUUCUGUCCUAACCAAAUUACUACUUGCACCAAAUGCUCGAAAGUUUUUACACAUAAAACCAGUCUCUCAAGGCACAAAUCAAGCAGUACAGCAUGUAGAGUCGCAAAAAUACAAACUCACAGAGUUUGCCAGUUUUGUUGUAAAAUUAUAACCUCUAAAAAUUAUGCGAGACAUAUAAAACGAUUCCAUAAGAGGUUCCUAAGUCAUGAUUUCCUUCACUUCUUUCUUAGAAGUUUUCAGAACUUUUCAUUAGAAUUUUUUUAGCAUUUUUUAUUUUGAGUAAAAAAAGUUUUUUGACAUGAUUGUUUUAAAGUAAAAAUGUUAAAUAAUUAAGAAGGAAAACAUUUUUAACCAAAAAGUAUAAAGCAAAGUUAUAUUUUGUUGUAAUUCAUUUCAUUUUUUAAGGAUAUGUUCCCGAGUGUCACAAUUGUAAUAAAAAAAAUAUGUUGGUUAGUUAGGAAAAAAUGGGAAUUUAAACAUGGAAGGAAAGUUUUCCUUUUUCUUUAUACCUGAUCCCCAAAAUUUAAUAAAUCCCAAUUCUGCCAAUGAACCCCUAAAAAAAUGUUGAACUUCUUAGAUAAAAAAUUACUGUCAGAGAGUGAGGGGACAUAGGUUUUUUAAGAAAUAUACACCCCUGGCUAUUUUUAUCAUACAAAAAGUUGCAGAUUCCAAGUAUCAAGUAAAUCUGAGUUAGUAACCUCUUUUGUUAGCACAUAAAAGAUUGGUAUUUUAAUAAUUUAAAAUAUUUGUGAAAAUAAAGAUGAUUUUUUUGUAA
Eurytemora carolleeae is the source of this 1263-nucleotide long non-coding RNA. RefSeq lists it as uncharacterized. The transcript is spliced from 2 exons. NCBI's taxonomy places the organism in Eukaryota, Metazoa, Arthropoda, Copepoda, Calanoida, Temoridae. The record is from RefSeq and is a predicted model, not a curated record.